RNAcentral lists this ribosomal RNA (340 nucleotides) under uncultured bacterium. RNAcentral describes it as "bacterial SSU rRNA". It matches the Rfam family "Bacterial small subunit ribosomal RNA", at positions 1 to 334 of the family's 1533-position model. The record is from RNAcentral.
CUAGCGACUUCAGAGUUUGAUCCUGGCUCAGGACGAACGCUGGCGGCGUGCUUAACACAUGCAAGUCGAGCGGGGAUAUUGACUUCGGUUGAUAUUCUAGCGGCGGACGGGUGAGUAACGCGUGAACAAUCUGUCCCAGACAGGGGGAUAACAGAUGGAAACAUCUGCUAAUACCGCAUAAGACCACGACCCGGCAUCGGGUUGAGGUAAAAGGAGUAAUCCGGUUUGGGGUGAGUUCGCGUCCGAUUAGCUAGUUGGUGAGGUAACGGCCCACCAAGGCGACGAUCGGUAGCCGACCUGAGAGGGUGAUCGGCCACAUUGGAACUGAGACACGGUCCAA